This 264-nucleotide long non-coding RNA is filed under the name Medicago truncatula (barrel medic). RNAcentral's name for it is "long non-coding RNA (MTRU_LNC006171)". The record is from RNAcentral. Lineage: Eukaryota; Viridiplantae; Streptophyta; Magnoliopsida; Fabales; Fabaceae.
AAAGUUUAAUCAUUUGGUUGUAGAUUAUAGGGCUGAUUUUCUUUUUUAUUUGUAUCUAAUUGUUAAUUGUUGAUGUACUUUCUCAGGGUCCCAUUGGAGAGCAUGUGUCUACAUUUUACGACUUCAAGACGUUCAACAUCAACAAUAUAAUUUUUAGUCGAGACAAGGUUUUGUAUUUGAUAUAGAAUCAAGAUGUUAAAUUUUAGACACCUUAGGUUGAUUGAAUAUUUUUAAUGAAUUGAUAUGUUGAAAAACUAAUCUCAA